Molecule: ribosomal RNA, 253 nt
Filed under: uncultured bacterium
Lineage: Bacteria
Description: partial 16S ribosomal RNA
Rfam family: Bacterial small subunit ribosomal RNA
Source: RNAcentral
GACGGAGGAUGCAAGCGUUAUCCGGAAUGAUUGGGCGUAAAGGGUACGUAGGUGGUGAUGUAUGUCUAUUGUCAAAGGUUCUGGCUUAACCAGAGACAGGCAGUAGAAACUCCAAAACUAGAGUGCAGUCGGGGCAGGGGGAAUUCCUGGUGUAGAGGUGAAAUGCGUAGAGUUCAGGAAGAACACCGGUGGCGAAAGCGCCUUGCUAGGCUGUUACUGACACUGAGGGGCGAAAGCUAGGGGAGCGAAUGGG